GGCCAGGAGGGAGGGACAGGGACAGAAGGCUCAGGGCUUGCCCCAGCCACCAGGCGGUGGCUUCGCUGCUUGGAGGAGGACGUGCCUGGCCUCUAAGAGAUACCCAGCAGCGCGGAGCAGGUGCCAGCCCUCAGACCCAGAACAGCUACGUGCCAGGCCGCGCACAAUCAGACCAGAGGUCCCACUCUCCCACCAGCCCCGAAGAACGCUCACGCCGGGCGGGGCGGGAAGGGAGGGCAGGGACCCAGCUUCGCCCUCCGCCAUUGCCGCGGGCGCUGGCCCCGCCUCCGGCGCGUGAGGGAUGGGGCCUGGGGCUCGCCUGCUGGAUCGAGCGCGCCUUGGGUGUGGAACCGGGGACGGGGCGUGGAGCUGUGGCGGGAAGGGCGAGGGGGGCGGGGCCUCGCGCGGGGGCGGGGCUCAGGCCCAGCGGGCCGCGGCCUCUGACCACAUGGAGCGCGGCGCUCUGGCCGGAUUGAGGCGGCGGCCUGUGGAGGAGGAGCGGGGUGGCCUCCGGGACACGAAACGGGCACGUAGGAGCAUCGAAGCUGGUCCUGGGGAGGACACUGACCGGGGGCAAAAUGAACUGCUCCAGGGGUGCUGGAUUACAGACUGGGGCUUGGAAUCCAAGGGCUUCAUUGCACAGGAGAGCCUGCCUGGAAAUAUCCAAGGCAGACAGAGCUCAGUGAUUUCUGCCAACAACGAAAGGCGUCCCACCCAGCCUUGCUCACGAUGCCUCGCCGGCGAGUCUGGGCAUUUUAACCAUGCCAUGAACUGUUAGAAGAUACAAGUUGGCAAAGAAGGCCGAAUCCAGUCUUGGUCCUGAAUCCUCCGCAUGGUGAUGAAUGUGAAUCUCUUAUGGAUGGAUUUAAGGGCCCACCUGUUCAAAGAACAGCCUGGAUGUUAUUUCCUGGGAAACUGUUUGCUCUCUCAUUCAGAUAAUCCCCCAGUUCUCAGUUCUGGGGCCCAGAAGAUCAACACCACUUCAAAAUAACCUCCUUAUUGUUAUUCCUCACUCUUAAAAUAUGUCUUUUUGUAGAAGAGUGUGGAGUCAUUAAGUCAUGAUCAAUUUCGUAUUUUUUUUAAAAAAGAAAAGGUUGUCAGGAGGAUGACAAUUCCUCCAUGAGGAGGAAUUUCUUAGAAAUAUGAUGGCUUACAGUCCAUGCCCUGGAGUAAGCCUGCUUAGCUCCUGUUAGAUUAUUUUGUCAAGAGCACUGACUUGUGUAUAUUCAAGACCACUUGUGUCCAUUUUUAAUAGCAGAAAAUGUUAUUUUCAUAUUAUAAAUGUGAAAUUCUAUUCUGCAGCAUAAAACGGAAUUUUAUCAUGGGAGAAAUCACUCCAUUUUUGUAAUUCUUUAUUUGGCUGAAGGCAAAGGACCAUGUUUACAGUCAAAUGGAAACACCCUCUUUUGCCAGGAUUUUAAUUCUCCCAUUUCCAAUGCUUUAGGUGAUGGGUUUUGAGUUCAGAAAUCUCUGUGAGGGGCCUCAGUCAGACAGCUGCUCAGGCUUCCAGGGGAGUGUGAGCUGAUUAAGUCAGCCACAAAUUCUGGAAUGUUUCAGAAUCAAAAGUGGGAUGGAAUACCUUGUACUCCCCAUGCUCCCUGGAUGGAAUUCACAUGAGGCCAUGUUUUCUAUCUCUGUUCAAGGCCAUCUUGAUGAGCCCAAUGCGUAAGUCAUCACAGAUGACAUUUUCAUGUUGGGAAAAGGGAAGAAAUGGAAGGCAAACUGAUCGGAAGUGACUCUGCCGCUGCUUGUGGUCAGGAUUCUCUAACAUUACAAAGCAUAUUACAGUCAUCAAGAAAGACUUAGGUCUCUGCUGCCAGAAUCCUAAGGUCACUGGAUGGAUUUGGGUUUGGGAGAUUUAAAAACAAUAUUAUUAAUGCUUUUGAUGAUACAUGUAGGACCAAAAAAGCUGAGCAGACUCUGUGGAGAGGGACAGAUGACUCCCUUCAGGACCCCCCACAUGCUCCAGUAGGAUCCUUCCCAUGUCAGAGGGAUCUGAGGAGAGCCCUCAGUGCAUCCUAUAUGGGAAGGCUAGGGGAGGACGUGGAAAGAGGCUCAGAAGAUGAGUAGAUGUGGAUGGGCUGAGGUCCACACAAUAGGAGGCCAUGCCUUCCUCAGGGAGGUCAUGGAUUCAUUGGAGUGGAGGAAUGUGGUUCUCAAGGCCAUUUCGAUAUGCCCCCAACCACAACACCGAUGAAAGAGCCAAACAAACCAAAGGCCUCAUUGUCAUUUCAUUGUAAUCUGUUCGUGGGCAGUGGGAGACAGGUAGAGGAGGAGAACCCGCUGCAGCCCUUUUCAUACCCCAGGCAGAGCCACUUGAUGUUGCCUCCAUCAGCAUUGUUUCCUAAUGGUGUUGGUGAUACAUUGUAACCAAACUUAAUCAAGAAACUGGUGUGAUAUUCCACUAAUUGUCCCUGUGUAACCAUGUGUCCCUUGCUCUGUGGCACUCAUUGCAUGCCCCCAGAGUCACUUUUUACAGCACCAGUCAUUGAUGGUAGGUGGGCUACACUUACUCAACAAGUUUAUUUCUAUUUCUGUGCCAAAAGUGAGGAACUGCAAAAUGCUCAGAUGACACAAAGCCUUUACCACUAGCUAAUUCACAGACAUUGUAAAUGAAUCAGCACUAUCCGGUAUUUCAAAGUUUAAAGGCGAAGAGUGACUCGAAGGUCGUCUUUUUAAAAAUUGGGGUCAUAAGAUCAUAAAGUUCAACAGGGACCUUAGGCACCAGGAAGCCCAGUCCAAAGGAGGUGCAGUGACUUGCUCAAAGUCCCACCGAUUGCAGAUAUUUCAUAGCCUGUGAUUUCACAGAUGAAGAAACAAUCCCAUACAAGACAUGUGCUUGGUCGUCUAGCCAAUUAGUAACAUAGGCAAGAGUAGAAUUCAGAUCUCUUUGAGGUGGCACGAUGAGGGCUACGGAUCGACCAGACCUGGCUUCUGGUUGUGAUUCUGGCCCUUUUUAUUAGUAUGACCUUGGGCAAGUCCCUUUGAGUCUUGGUGUCUUCAUCUGCAAAAGAUAGAGUUGGACUAAAUGACCCCUGAGUGUCUUCCCAGUUCCAAACACAGUGCUCACCAAGCCUGGCUCUGUUUCCAUAGCUCCACCUUCUCAGACAUCCUGAUCCUGACCUUGAAACUCCUCCUUCACAAGAAAGAUUCGAGACACACACACACACACACACAGAGUAUGUGAGAGAAAGCCCGGGCCAGGGAAAGUAUUCCAUCUUGGAGCCAGUGUUGUUAUUCCCUUAUCUCAUAGAGCUUUGUGUCAUCGUUUUUUCUAAGCAGCUAGUUAGGUCUUUACAUGUUUAGUCUGUAUGUAUAUACAUAUACACAUACAUACAUACACACAAAAUAAACGUAUUGUCCCUAAUUAACUAGGCCA
Molecule: long non-coding RNA, 3379 nt
Filed under: Phascolarctos cinereus (koala)
Lineage: Eukaryota; Metazoa; Chordata; Mammalia; Diprotodontia; Phascolarctidae
Description: lncRNA (ENSPCIG00000008433.2)
Source: RNAcentral